CUCCGCUGUCGCUUGGACAGUUUAAUCUGAUGAUUUUUAAAAUAAGAAAUGACUCAACUCCUAGUUUUGAGGUUGGCUUUUUGAAGCAGUGCCAAACUGUUUUAGGUCUUUAGAUCUAGGGAUGCUGUCCUUGUCAAUUGGCCAUACUACCUAUGGCUACUUCCCUGCACGCGUCGGGCAGUUGUGUGAGUUUAACUCCAACACCGCCUGACACUGCCUGGUUCCUUCUGGACAUUGUCCUGCUGCUUCAUCUCCCGGAAAGCUCCUUCUCUGGACUUCUACAAAACAUCAACUUGACCAACUGCUGCUUUAAUAUUUAUUGUUCUGGAUGCAUGAAUGUGCACGUUCCAGUGUGCGUGGGCUAGUGCAGACAGCUCUGUCAGGAGCCUGUAAAACUUGAGGUUGAAGACCAAGGGUGGACUUCUUGCAGUGCCUGCCUGGCACAAGGGCUUGCUUCUGAGUAGAUAGAUGCUCAGUGAGCGCUCUUAAGUGGACUCAGGACCUGUUUCGACUUACCAACGUGUUUUCCAGUUUUCAACUUUCAUUUCACCCGCACAGAUCAUAAGCGCAGAGUCCUGCAACGUCAGCCCAUUCUAUGUCCAGAAGCCCUUUGAAGAUCAAGAUAUAAAUACACAAAACCAGACCUGAGACAUCUACCCAUCUUUUGGAAGGGCUCAGUUAUGGAGCUUCCCUCCCAUGGAUGAAGAUGUGCUAAAGUGGAGAAGGAUCCCAAGAGAUCCUUCAAAGUCUCGCUAAGCUCUCUCAGUGAAACCAAACACAUACCUGGAGGUUUUCUUCAUCUGCAGAACAAG
This 812-nucleotide long non-coding RNA is filed under the name Marmota monax (woodchuck). Lineage: Eukaryota; Metazoa; Chordata; Mammalia; Rodentia; Sciuridae. The record is from RNAcentral.